AUAAGCCAGCUUGACUGCGAGCGUGACGGCGCGAGCAGGUGCGAAAGCAGGUCAUAGUGAUCCGGUGGUUCUGAAUGGAAGGGCCAUCGCUCAACGGAUAAAAGGUACUCCGGGGAUAACAGGCUGAUACCGCCCAAGAGUUCAUAUCGACGGCGGUGUUUGGCACCUCGAUGUCGGCUCAUCACAUCCUGGGGCUGAAGUAGGUCCCAAGGGUAUGGCUGUUCGCCAUUUAAAGUGGUACGCGAGCUGGGUUUAGAACGUCGUGAGACAGUUCGGUCCCUAUCUGCCGUGGGCGCUGGAGAACUGAGGGGGGCUGCUCCUAGUACGAGAGGACCGGAGUGGACGCAUCACUGGUGUUCGGGUUGUCAUGCCAAUGGCACUGCCCGGUAGCUAAAUGCGGAAGAGAUAAGUGCUGAAAGCAUCUAAGCACGAAACUUGCCCCGAG
Molecule: ribosomal RNA, 445 nt
Filed under: Salmonella enterica
Lineage: Bacteria; Pseudomonadati; Pseudomonadota; Gammaproteobacteria; Enterobacterales; Enterobacteriaceae
Description: partial 23S ribosomal RNA
Rfam family: Bacterial large subunit ribosomal RNA
Source: RNAcentral